UACGUAGGGGGCAAGCGUUGUCCGGAUUUAUUGGGCGUAAAGAGCGUGUAGGCGGCCCGAUAAGUCCGCCGUGAAAGUCCAGGGCUCAACCCUGGAAUGCCGGUGGAAACUGUCGGGCUGGAGUCCGGAAGAGGCGAGUGGAAUUCCUGGUGUAGCGGUGAAAUGCGCAGAUAUCAGGAGGAACACCAAUGGCGAAGGCAGCUCGCUGGGACGGUACUGACGCUGAGACGCGAAAGCGUGGGGAGCAAACAGG
Molecule: ribosomal RNA, 253 nt
Filed under: uncultured bacterium
Lineage: Bacteria
Description: partial 16S ribosomal RNA
Rfam family: Bacterial small subunit ribosomal RNA
Source: RNAcentral